This 459-nucleotide ribosomal RNA is filed under the name uncultured bacterium. RNAcentral's name for it is "partial 16S ribosomal RNA". It matches the Rfam family "Bacterial small subunit ribosomal RNA", at positions 338 to 795 of the family's 1533-position model. The record is from RNAcentral.
CCUACGGGAGGCAGCAGUGAGGAAUAUUGGUCAAUGGCCGAGAGGCUGAACCAGCCAAGUCGCGUGAGGGAAGACGGCCCUACGGGUUGUAAACCUCUUUUGUCGGGGAGCAAAGCGAGUCACGUGUGACUCAUUGAGAGUACCCGAAGAAAAAGCAUCGGCUAACUCCGUGCCAGCAGCCGCGGUAAUACGGAGGAUGCGAGCGUUAUCCGGAUUUAUUGGGUUUAAAGGGUGCGCAGGCGGAGGUGCAAGUCAGCGGGAAAAUUGCGGGGCUCAACCCCGUACUGCCGUUGAAACUGCAUGCCUUGAGUGCGCGAGAAGUAUGCGGAAUGCGUGGUGUAGCGGUGAAAUGCAUAGAUAUCGCGCAGAACUCCGAUUGCGAAGGCAGCAUGCCGGCUCCACACUGACGCUGAGGCACGAAAGCGUGGGUAUCGAACAGGAUUAGAUACCCCAGUAGUC